Molecule: long non-coding RNA, 863 nt
Organism: Apis cerana (Asiatic honeybee)
Lineage: Eukaryota; Metazoa; Arthropoda; Insecta; Hymenoptera; Apidae
Source: RefSeq, a predicted model, not a curated record
AAUAAGAUUAGUUAAAAAAACUUUGAUUGUAUCAUUUUUAUGUAUAAUAGAAAUCAUAUAAGUAUCAUUAUUUAUUUUUAUACUAUUCCACAUGAUGUUCUUUAUAUUAAUAAAAAAUCAUGUUUUUUAUUGAGAUAUUUCAGAAGUAUUUUGAUUUAAAAGCAUACACGAUACACCUAUAUCCUUUACCAAAACUGCAUCUGGACAUCCAUUACUUUUAUUACUCCUAUAGAAAAAGAUAUGUAAAUAAUUUUUUUAUUAUUUAAUGAAUGAUUAUUUAAGAAUAAAAAUCUUCAACAAAAUUGACAUUUGAUAUUUAUAAGUUUGAUAAAAUAAAAAUUAUAUUAAUAAAAAUGUUGAAUAAUAAAUAAUAAUAUAAUAAAAAUAUUAACCUAUAAUAAGGAAACUGACAGCUAUCAUGAAUCGUAGAAUUACUCAUUUCAUCAGAAAUUGUAUUUUCUGUUACUGAAUGAUUAUGUGAAUCUUUGUUCAUACUGUUAAUGGAAUUGUAAUUCGAUUCAAUAAUCAAAGCAUUUUGUUUAAUUGCAUGUCUUUCUGAUAUUGUGGAAAUAAAACUUUUAGAAGAUUCAUCAGAAAUGGUAGUAUGUUUCUUCAUUUGUGGUAUAAUCUUAAUUGAUGCAUCUCCUGUUUUCGGAGCAAUAAGGACACCCAUCUCAAAAUGAUGAUUGUUAAAUUAUCCAAUGAUUGUUAAAUUAUUUAGAAGUCAUAUUGAUCCAAUAUAAAGUUUGUAUUAAUAUUUGUUAUAAAAAAAUGUAAAAAUUAGAAAAACGAAUUAUAAUAAAAUAUUUUAUAUGUGAUAAUAAAAUAAAAAAUAAUAAAAUGAUAUUAAUUUUAUUACAAAA